This 102-nucleotide Y RNA is filed under the name Microcebus murinus (gray mouse lemur). RNAcentral describes it as "Y RNA (ENSMICG00000043302.1)". It matches the Rfam family "Y RNA". From Rfam's summary of the family: Y RNAs are components of the Ro ribonucleoprotein particle (Ro RNP), in association with Ro60 and La proteins. The Y RNAs and Ro60 and La proteins are well conserved, but the function of the Ro RNP is not known. Lineage: Eukaryota; Metazoa; Chordata; Mammalia; Primates; Cheirogaleidae. The record is from RNAcentral.
GACUGGUCCAAGUGCAGUGGUGUUUACAACUAAUUGAUCACCACCAGGUAUAAAUCCCUCUGUUCCUUCUCCAUUCCCACUGCUUCACUUGACUAGCUGUUA